AUUGAACGCUGGCGGCAUGCCUAACACAUGCAAGUCGAACGGCAGCACGGCAGUAGCAAUACUGUGGGCGGCGAGUGGCGAACGGGUGAGUAAUACAUCGGAACGUGCCCGAGAGUGGGGGAUAACGCAGCGAAAGCUGUGCUAAUACCGCAUACGAUCUCAGGAUGAAAGCAGGGGACCGCAAGGCCUUGCGCUCACGGAGCGGCCGAUGGCAGAUUAGGUAGUUGGUGGGAUAAAAGCUUACCAAGCCGACGAUCUGUAGCUGGUCUGAGAGGACGACCAGCCACACUGGGACUGAGACACGGCCCAGACUCCUACGGGAGGCAGCAGUGGGGAAUUUUGGACAAUGGGGGAACCCUGAUCCAGCCAUGCCGCGUGCAGGAUGAAGGCCUGGUUGUAACUAGCUUUGUACGGUAACGAAAAGGACGUCUGGUUAAUACCGGGCGUCGAUGACGGUACCGUAAGAA
Molecule: ribosomal RNA, 467 nt
Filed under: uncultured bacterium
Lineage: Bacteria
Description: bacterial SSU rRNA
Rfam family: Bacterial small subunit ribosomal RNA
Source: RNAcentral